AGCAGAUCCUGACAUUUUAAAAAGUAAAAGAUACAUUCUUGUUAUCAUUUAUACCAGAUCUCCUCCUGAAAAUUGUGGUGGUGUAUGAAACUUGCAGCCUGUCAUGUACCUUCAGCAACAAAUAAAACCAGCAAAGAGAAGAUUUUCCCAAGGAGAUGGGUUGAGUUGGGUGGAUGAAAUUGCUCAGAUGCCUGAGGCAACAGACUGAGUUGACUUGAAUCAUUAUGAUUAUUCAAAUGAGAAUUAUCCAAAUGACCUAGAUUUCUUCCUUGCUGCAUCAUGACAAAUUGCUAGACAAUGACACCUCUGCUGUUUGCAUUUCUGUGGGCAGACACAUUUGGAUAUCCAUACAGACAAAAAAUAAUUGAAGAAAAAAUCCUGCUGUAUCUCUCUGCAACAAAUCUGAUUCCAUUAGAAAGAACUUUUAAACUCUAAAAGAAAUAAACUCCACUGUAAACAAACA
This 463-nucleotide long non-coding RNA is filed under the name Phasianus colchicus (ring-necked pheasant). RNAcentral's name for it is "lncRNA (ENSPCLG00000020439.1)". Lineage: Eukaryota; Metazoa; Chordata; Aves; Galliformes; Phasianidae. The record is from RNAcentral.